GAAGCUGAUCUCCAAGCAGACACAUCAUCUCUGCGUAUCUCUGCUCCCCAACCAGACAGUGACCUACUUCAGAAGUCAAACUGAGAUCAAAUGUUACUCUCUGGUUCAUGGGUAAAAAAACUUUGAAUCACAGAGGAACUAGAGGAAAACGAUGUCCAUCCUGCACACUGCUGUGUUCACAAUUAUAUUUCACCAAGUUGAACAGAACAGAGAACCUUCCCAACAGUUACACUGCACAGUGCGGGGAAGAGGGAACCAUGGUGCAAGGAUAUGAGUCACUGAGGGCACAGGAUGGAGGGAAGGUUCUUUGCCAGAGCGAGAUGUGCAUAUCAUCAAGCUCCUACCUGAAGUGUCAUGUGGACGGCUGAAGUCAUUUCUUUCCCUCCAGGGGACCCUUUGCAAUGUCAAACAAUGUAAAGAAGAGAAGUAGGUCAUGGUUACGUAGUUAUCUAAAAGCAGGCCUCACCUUUUCCUCACCACUCAUGCUCGCCACUUCUCCUCGUGCUGGCACCAGCGUUUGUUUGGCUGGUUGGUGAGCCAGAGGGAAUUAAUCCAGUUACUAAUGUGGCAAAAUACCUGGCAAAAAAAUCAAUACAACCUUUAACUGGCCACAACAGAAAAAAAGGGUAGCCAUAGCCUCAGACAGGCAGGGCUUGACGCUCUGCCUAGUUACAUUUAACCCCGUGACUUAUCUGUGAGGACUCUGAAAUCCACUGUUCUGUGUUCCCUCUUGUGACGGGUGAUGUGUGUGACGAGGAACCUAAAGUUUUCUUUUAUUCCCCAGUGAAACUAACUAUAUGCAAUCCAGUGUUUUGCCUCUAAUUUUUUGUUUUAAAGCUAGAAAAAAGUGAUGUUACAGCAUAAAGGAGAAAAUAUUCUUUGAUACUCUCCUAUUUCGCAUGUGUUGGUCCUACAGGAAUUUCAACAAAUCACUUCCUGGAGAUAUUCAAGAGCCAUCUUGACACAACCCUGAGCAAUGUGCUGUAGGUGACCCUGAGCAAGGAGGCUGGACUAGAUGACUUCCAGUGGUCCCUUCCAGCCUCGGCCAUUCUGUGAUUAUUCUGUGCCCAGCAACAGUAGCAAAUUGUAUACCCAAAUUUUCAGUUUUAUCUGUUCCAUAGGCCAGAGGAAAAGUGUACCAUAUAAUUUGAUUUUUACUGUUACUUUCACUGAUGGAUGUGCUUAUUACUUUAACAAGGCAUAAAACCCCA
RNAcentral lists this long non-coding RNA (1211 nucleotides) under Strigops habroptila (Kakapo). RNAcentral's name for it is "lncRNA (ENSSHBG00005014695.1)". Lineage: Eukaryota; Metazoa; Chordata; Aves; Psittaciformes; Psittacidae. The record is from RNAcentral.